Saccostrea cuccullata (small rock oyster) is the source of this 2980-nucleotide long non-coding RNA. RefSeq lists it as uncharacterized. The transcript has 2 exons. NCBI's taxonomy places the organism in Eukaryota, Metazoa, Mollusca, Bivalvia, Ostreida, Ostreidae. The record is from RefSeq and is a predicted model, not a curated record.
AUAGCAGAGGAGAUAGAAAAAAUAAGCAUAAUUCAAAUAUUAAGGAUGUUCUGAAGGAGGAAAUGAAAGUUUUCAUGGCGAUGGGAGUAUGCAUCAUUCUGCCAGGGUUUGGAUUUUUCGCUAUUGGUUGUGGCUUAAUUAAAAAGAAAGUGCUGCAAAUCGAGUUCACAGAAAAAGGUCAAAUCAGAAAAUGGAAAUAUUCAGAAAGAGAGCGCAAACCCAUAGUGACAGUCCAAACAAACAAAGUUGUCACAUUUUGCGAACAUUACUAUUUAAUAUUACUGUUUAUCAUUAGUAAUUCUGCAUAUACGAGGGUUGUUGGAAAAGUUCGUGGACUCCUUUCAUAUCUUUUUUAUUCAACAUUAUAUGCUAACCAAAUUUGGUGGCAAUAUUUUACAAUAUAGCCAAAUGAUUUGUAUUGCCUAAUUUUAAUUCAUCAUGAUUUAUUUCAAACCUAUCCAGAAUUUUAAUCUAUAACAAUCGGACCGCGGAGCAGGUCAAAAUUUAGUAAUUCACAAACAAUGCAUGAAAUAAAUAUGACAAUGUCUGUAGUCAUAUUCUCUGUAAAAUGGCGCGAAAACAAAAAAAAAAAGAUCCUAGAAUUUAUAAAUAAUAACUGUUGUAUGGAUUCAUAUUACAAAUUAUGGCUUAAUAUUUUGAUUCGUUGAAAAGAAAUCGAUUUAGGAAGAUAGUCCUUAUUGAAAGCGACAAAAAUAAUGGCGUUGUUGAACGUCAUGGGGCAGAAUAUAUCUAUUCAAUUUUGUGUUAUACUAGGGAAAAAUUAUGAAACAACUCAAAAAAUAUCAAAGGAAUCAAAAUAUGUCACAAUUAAGUCGUGCAUGUGUUUAUGAAUGGUAUUUGAGUGACAAAGACUCUGUAUCGGACGAGGACAAUCUGUGAAGAAACGGUUUAUUUGAUCACAUCUUUUCAAAAACUUUAGAAAUUUGCAAAGUCGUAAGAUGAUAUAAAGGCGCCUCUGAGUUGAUUAUCUUGUGAAAGAACAGCUAAGUAGUAAAAAAAAUAAAAAAUUGACAAAAGAAAUUAUGCAACGAGAACUAUUGUUUAGAUAAAUGGAUUUCAAUUGAUAGAAAAAGUUUUUAAUAUGAAUAGGGAUAGUAUAUUUACAAAAUUGUUGACGCUGUGUUUUUAGACGUAACAUUGCCGUUAAGCAUGCUCCGCGGGUACAAAAAAUGUUGACUUUAAAAUGAAAUAAAUUGAUUUCUAAUAAAUCGAAUGAAAUAAAACUUCACACAUCUACAAAGCAAAUAUUAUUACACAUGAUACUGAGCUUAUUUUAAAUUUCUUGAAAUAAGUAAAACGAAGAUUUACACGAACUUUUCGAAGUUAACAUUAUUAAGUUUAAAAAGAUGAAAAAAGAAUUUAAACAUAACUAUUCAAGAUUGAAUACCGUUCCUUAUUAUCAUAUUUUGAUUGACAAAGAACAACAGAAAAAAGAAUUUAAAAAACAACUUUUAAAGGGUUUCAUUGAAAUCCGCUCAUAUAUAUAUAUAUAUUUUUUUUUUUAUAUAAAUUUUAUUUAGGUUAAAAUUCGAGGCAAUCGCAGAGAUAAUGCAGUAUUCCUUAUAAUCAAAAUGUGUCGGAACUAUUGAAACUAUUCAAAACGCGUCAAAUUUAUUCAUUUAUGUUCAAAAAUUAUUGAAAUCGUUGUAGAUUAGAUAUAAUUCGUCAUGGAAAAGGGGGCCCUAGAUAUCAGAACUUUAAUGUCACAUUCUUUCAAAUACUUUGUAAGAUGUUUGUGUAUUAUAGAAUAUAUCAAGAUAGCGAAAAAUACUUAUGUUCAAAUAUAAAGACCAUAAACAAUACAGAUUUUGGAGCAGAGCUAACACGGAAUUAAAUAUCAGAGGUGGGAUCAUGUAUCAUUGAGGAGUUAGCAUCCCUUGCCGACCGGUCACAACCGCCGAGUGUACUAUGUAAUUAUUGGGUGGAUGGACUUUACUUGUAAUAAUAUUUUGAGUGUGCCAAAACAAUGUGACAACAUUGGCUCUGAAUGUUAGAAUUUGCAUAUAUUAUUACAUAUCAUGAAUUAGUUACCCUUCAUCUUAAAUUUGCGUGUAUUUCUUGAGUUAACUGUAAUUAUCUUACAUUAUUGUAGAAGUUCUACAUAUGUGGAUAAGCCGUAAUACUAUGAAUCAUUUGCUGCCAUGUAACUUGUUUACAGUCUGUCUGCCAUCUUUAUAUCGGCGCAUGUUAUGUACAUUAGUAACGUAUUUUACCUAUUGGCUAACUUGUCAUUCAUAUUAUAUCAUAGGCAUAAUCACUUGCUAUUAAUAAUGUUGAUUAUUAUUGUGGGUUAUACUAUUCAUUUUAGCAAUUAUUAUUCCCGAUUACGUGUGUCUACAACUUGCACUAUACAUUUAAUCCAUCUGCGAUAACGUCUGCAUACUCAGCAAGUUUACUUAUGUGAAAUUUACAAGUUUCAGAUAUAAUUUGUUUACUUACUUAUUAUAGGCACAUCUUUUGUGAUCCAUAUUUAUCUUUUCACAUGUUAAUUCCCAGGUUUGUGUAUAAUCCAUAUUGUACGACAACUUUUUUUGAUAGUACGACACGAUUUUUAUUUUUAAUGACGUCGUACAUUGUUGUGAUUGGUUGAACGUCGCCAUACAACAUUUAUAUUGGUUGAAUCUUGUCAUGUAACCCUUUUCCGAAGGUUAUAUAUAGGGACCGAUUGCAUUAAGUUAACAGAUAAUUUGCCAACUUGUCAGGAGCGAAUAUUCAAAUAGAGAUAAAUCCAAGAUCCGCUCAGCCUUGCAAUUGUAAUUUCGGGUGAGAAAGUUAUCGACAAUUAACUAGCAAACACACUUGACACCUAUUUAAUUGUUAAUAAUUGUGGGGAUCAUCCUAGUAUACCCAUUGUACACCCCCGUUUAAAAAAGUAGCUUGUAAGAUAGAUUCCACCAAAAUUUAUUAUUGUACCUGUUGAAAUGAGAACUGUUUUAUGAUUAAUAAAUAUUGAAAGCAA